CAGACAGAUCCUUCAGCCUCAGGAAAGCUUCUUGAUGACGCGGUCCUGGCUGACAACCGGACUGCAACCUCAUGAGAUACCCUGAGCCAGAACCACCAGCUAAGCCACUUCUCAAGUCCUGACUCACAGUGCUGCAAGAUAAUAAACGUUUUGGAGUCAUUCGUAACACAGCAAGUGAUAAUGAAGAUACGUGGGUUGAGUGGGGCUUUGCCUAAUAUGCCCUAGUGCCUCCUGAAAGUGAAUGAGGCCAGCUGGGAUGACUAGGCACUGCUCAGAGAGCUGGGGGUUUCUGGCUGUUCCUUUGUUUGCCCGUGGUGGCCAGCAUGUUUGCAGUUGGGAGGAUUCUUCACCAGUCUAACACAUGCCUCAGUUUUCUAGGUGAGAAACCCAGACAAGGCUGGCACUGCACAGAGAUGGAACCUGAUGAAACGGCCCCAUUUGAGCGCCUGCUGUAUCGCGUUGGCUCUGCUUCCUGCAGCUGUGCUCCAAGAUGAGCCUUUCAGACAUCGCUCCCUAAUAGCUCCAUCUCCCCCAGUCCAGGAGGAUGCGCAUUCCUCUCCUCAUUCACAUGCACCACUUCAAGCCAUCUGCACGCUCUACAGGGGACUUGCCGCCUAACAUCCUAAUGUGCAACCCCAUCCAAAUCCUCUGCUGGAAUCUCACUAUUUGCACCACUUACGCUCCUGGAGCGUGAAACAGAAGGGCCAGUCCUCUUGUCUCUUUAUUCUAAGUGUUUAAUACAGAUUCCAUGGACUUGGUCCAUAACAAUAUGAGUGUGGUCUUACAUCAGUCCUUUUACUAAUUUCUCAUCAUCUCCCUCAUCCUUGUCCUUUAGUGAUUGUUCCAGACCUUCUCUUCUUAUCCUCAUACUCUCCUCUUUGGUAUAGUAGUGAGUAAAAGAAAGAAAGAAAAAAAAGGUCCUAGUGUGACUCAUAUCUUCAUGGUUUAUUUACUACCUGGAGGAUUUUUGAGGCUAUGAACAUUGUUUUAUUUUUUGCUGUAUCCCCAGCACCUAGCACAGAUAUGUGUGUGUAUCAGGGCCUGUAUGUAUAAGCUCUCCGAUGCUGCUAUAACAUGUAGUUCCCCAGUCAAAACUAAGUAUUAUUAAAGCAGCAUUUUGGACAGGGUUUAAAUUACCUGGCCCUUGACUUUGGGAAUUGGAAUUUUGUCUACUGCAGUCGCUUGGGGGACCUUCCAGUAGAGAUUUAUAAUUAAAAUGAUAUCAUCCAGUAAGGCUUUUACCACAGGGCUUCUAAAAACAAUAAAAGGAUUGUCUGAGGCAGAAUCUGCACUGUGGAAUGAGAAUUAUAUAUGGUUUACUAUAAAGUAAACUUAGG
This 1337-nucleotide long non-coding RNA is filed under the name Homo sapiens (human). RNAcentral's name for it is "non-protein coding lnc-R3HCC1L-8:5". Lineage: Eukaryota; Metazoa; Chordata; Mammalia; Primates; Hominidae. The record is from RNAcentral.